This 208-nucleotide long non-coding RNA is filed under the name Gossypium raimondii (Peruvian cotton). Its description in RNAcentral is "long non-coding RNA (GRAI_LNC001016)". The record is from RNAcentral. Lineage: Eukaryota; Viridiplantae; Streptophyta; Magnoliopsida; Malvales; Malvaceae.
UAACAAAACCAAUUUAGGUACUUAAAAAACGAAAUGGAAAAGAAAAAGAAAUGGCCUUUCGGCCUUCGUCCCCGGUUGCAACACGAACGAACCCUCGAAGGGCUUUCGUGACCUUGACGAACGGAGGGGACCUCCGUCGACGGCGCACGACCCAACCCCCAAGUACGUUUUAACCCCUUUUCCUCUUUAUACUUAUAAUAAUAUUCGA